CACAUGCAGUCGAACGGAGCUGAGAGGAGCUUGCUUUUCUUAGCUUAGUGGCGAACGGGUGAGUAACGCGUGAGUAACCUGCCCUGGAGUGGGGGACAACAGUUGGAAACGACUGCUAAUACCGCAUAAGCCCACGGAUCCGCAUGGAUCUGCGGGAAAAGGAUUUAUUCGCUUCAGGAUGGACUCGCGUCCAAUUAGCUAGUUGGUGAGGUAACGGCCCACCAAGGCGACGAUUGGUAGCCGGACUGAGAGGUUGAACGGCCACAUUGGGACUGAGACACGGCCCAGACUCCUACGGGAGGCAGCAGUGGGGGAUAUUGCACAAUGGGGGAAACCCUGAUGCAGCGACGCCGCGUGGAGGAAGAAGGUUUUCGGAUUGUAAACUCCUGUCGUUAGGGACGAUAAUGACGGUACCUAACAAGAAAGCACCGGCUAACUACGUGCCAGCAGCCGCGGUAAAACGUAGGGUGCAAGCGUUGUCCGGAAUUACUGGGUGUAAAGGGAGCGCAGGCGGACCGGCAAGUUGGAAGUGAAAACUAUGGGCUCAACCCAUAAAUUGCUUUCAAAACUGCUGGCCUUGAGUAGUGCAGAGGUAGGUGGAAUUCCCGGUGUAGCGGUGGAAUGCGUAGAUAUCGGGAGGAACACCAGUGGCGAAGGCGACCUACUGGGCACCAACUGACGCUGAGGCUCGAAAGCAUGGGUAGCAAACAGGAUUAGAUACCCUGGUAGUCCAUGCCGUAAACGAUGAUUACUAGGUGUUGGAGGAUUGACCCCUUCAGUGCCGCAGUUAACACAAUAAGUAAUCCACCUGGGGAGUACGACCGCAAGGUUGAAACUCAAAGGAAUUGACGGGGGCCCGCACAAGCAGUGGAGUAUGUGGUUUAAUUCGACGCAACGCGAAGAACCUUACCAAGU
RNAcentral lists this ribosomal RNA (915 nucleotides) under uncultured bacterium. Its description in RNAcentral is "bacterial SSU rRNA". It matches the Rfam family "Bacterial small subunit ribosomal RNA", at positions 52 to 979 of the family's 1533-position model. The record is from RNAcentral.